GUUAUUGAAUCUAUUGUAAUUACUUUUAUAUUAAUAACGUUGGUUUUCCAACUACGACGAUAAACGAAUUUCGUAAUAACCAUUGCGGACGUGGGGGCAGUACCCACCACCUCCACCAUUACAACUUAUGGGGGUGAACUAGAUUCGACGGGUGACUAAAGGCUAUUCUUUCGUUCGGGAUUGUUCCACCGUAACGGGCUAUUUUAUAAUUGCUAACGAAAGUUACGCACUUGCUGCCUAAUUAACUUUGUUAAUUAAGCAGACGGGGUCUGGGGCACCUGGCAACAGAACGCCCCUACA
Molecule: transfer-messenger RNA, 300 nt
Filed under: Candidatus Pelagibacter sp.
Lineage: Bacteria; Pseudomonadati; Pseudomonadota; Alphaproteobacteria; Candidatus Pelagibacterales; Candidatus Pelagibacteraceae
Rfam family: Alphaproteobacteria transfer-messenger RNA
About the family: Bacterial tmRNA, also known as 10Sa RNA or SsrA, is named for its dual tRNA and mRNA-like properties. Its role is to liberate the mRNA from a stalled ribosome.
Source: RNAcentral